This 85-nucleotide long non-coding RNA is filed under the name Fukomys damarensis (Damara mole-rat). Its description in RNAcentral is "lncRNA (ENSFDAG00000022981.1)". Lineage: Eukaryota; Metazoa; Chordata; Mammalia; Rodentia; Bathyergidae. The record is from RNAcentral.
CUUGGCGUAGUCUUACGGGAUGCUUUCUACUGAGGGAGCCCCUUGAAUUCCCUGUGGCUGUACCUUCCCCACGGGGCGAGCAAUC